This 460-nucleotide ribosomal RNA is filed under the name uncultured bacterium. RNAcentral describes it as "partial 16S ribosomal RNA". It matches the Rfam family "Bacterial small subunit ribosomal RNA", at positions 338 to 795 of the family's 1533-position model. The record is from RNAcentral.
CCUACGGGAGGCAGCAGUGAGGAAUAUUGGUCAAUGGACGAGAGUCUGAACCAGCCAAGUAGCGUGAAGGAUGACUGCCCUAUGGGUUGUAAACUUCUUUUAUAUGGGAAUAAAAUGUUCCACGUGUGGGAUUUUGUAUGUACCAUAUGAAUAAGGAUCGGCUAACUUCGUGCCAGCAGCCGCGGUAAUACGGAGGAUCCGAGCGUUAUCCGGAUUUAUUGGGUUUAAAGGGAGCGUAGGUGGAUUGUUAAGUCAGUUGUGAAAGUUUGCGGCUCAACCGUAAAAUUGCAGUUGAAACUGGCAGUCUUGAGUACAGUAGAGGUGGGCGGAAUUCGUAGUGUAGCGGUGAAAUGCUUAGAUAUCACGAAGAACUCCGAUUGCGAAGGCAGUUCACUGGACUGCAACUGACACUGAGGCUCGAAAGUGUGGGUAUCAAACAGGAUUAGAUACCCCUGUAGUC